RNAcentral lists this ribosomal RNA (742 nucleotides) under uncultured bacterium. Its description in RNAcentral is "bacterial SSU rRNA". It matches the Rfam family "Bacterial small subunit ribosomal RNA", at positions 94 to 823 of the family's 1533-position model. The record is from RNAcentral.
AGCGGCGGAUGGGUGAGUAACACGUGGGGAACCUGCCCCUAAGUCUGGGAUAUCAUUUGGAAACAGGUGCUAAUACCGGAUAAUAAAGCAGAUCGCAUGAUCAGCUUUUGAAAGGCGGCGUAAGCUGUCGCUAAGGGAUGGCCCCGCGGUGCAUUAGCUAGUUGGUAAGGUAACGGCUUACCAAGGCGACGAUGCAUAGCCGAGUUGAGAGACUGAUCGGCCACAUUGGGACUGAGACACGGCCCAAACUCCUACGGGAGGCAGCAGUAGGGAAUCUUCCACAAUGGACGCAAGUCUGAUGGAGCAACGCCGCGUGAGUGAAGAAGGUUUUCGGAUCGUAAAGCUCUGUUGUUGGUGAAGAAGGAUAGAGGUAGUAACUGGCCUUUAUUUGACGGUAAUCAACCAGAAAGUCACGGCUAACUACGUGCCAGCAGCCGCGGUAAUACGUGGGUGGCAAGCGUUGUCCGGAUUUAUUGGGCGUAAAGCGAGCGCAGGCGGAAAAAUAAGUCUAAUGUGAAAGCCCUCGGCUUAACCGAGGAACUGCAUCGGAAACUGUUUUUCUUGAGUGCAGAAGAGGAGAGUGGAACUCCAUGUGUAGCGGUGGAAUGCGUAGAUAUAUGGAAGAACACCAGUGGCGAAGGCGCUCUCUGGUCUGCAACUGACGCUGAGGCUCGAAAGCAUGGGUAGCGAACAGGAUUAGAUACCCUGGUAGUCCAUGCCGUAAACGAUGAGUGCUAAGUGU